UUCUCCCCUCAAUCUCAGGACU
This 22-nucleotide microRNA is filed under the name Bos taurus (domestic cattle). Its description in RNAcentral is "bta-miR-2394". The record is from miRBase by way of RNAcentral. Lineage: Eukaryota; Metazoa; Chordata; Mammalia; Artiodactyla; Bovidae.